GUGAGAGACCGUGUGUGUGAGAGGCUGUGUGUGAGAGACCGUGUGUGUGAGAGGCCGUGAGUGUGGGAGGCUGUGUGUGGGAGAGAGUGGGCUGGCGAGGGAGAGGAGAGCGUGUGUGUGGGGCGUGAGAAGCGCGCGCACACUGUCGCGCUCUCGUGGGUCCGCGGCCGCCUGGCCCCGGGGCUGUGGGGCGCGCGCCUGUCCCGAGCCGCCGGCCGGCCUGUGCGCGUCACCGCCCCUGUCCCGGGCCCCUCGGAGGCUCCGCGCGUGCUGCCUGGCGGGGUUGGUUGGUGCAGCCUUGGGAGCGUCCGGUGGGGUGUCUGCCUUUGUGUGUGUUUCAAUAACUGGGACUUUCAGGUUGUGAAAUGGAAAAAAAAAAUGUAAUGGACCCAAUAUUAGGCAACUGCUUUGGAGGAAUUUGCAGAUUACCAAGAAAGAAGUCACUGAUCCUUCACUUAAGAAUGAAAGGAAGAAGUCAAUGAAGAGAUGUGUGGUGAGCCAUGUUGUGAAAGGUGUGGAUAUGCUUCUACCUUUGGCUGCACGAAUACUAUAAACUUGACACGAGAAAAACUUUUGAAGA
Non-coding RNA from Equus caballus (horse), 580 nucleotides. The record is from RefSeq and is a predicted model, not a curated record. Lineage: Eukaryota; Metazoa; Chordata; Mammalia; Perissodactyla; Equidae.